RNAcentral lists this ribosomal RNA (615 nucleotides) under uncultured bacterium. Its description in RNAcentral is "bacterial SSU rRNA". It matches the Rfam family "Bacterial small subunit ribosomal RNA", at positions 338 to 951 of the family's 1533-position model. The record is from RNAcentral.
CCUACGGGAGGCAGCAGUAAGGAAUAUUGGACAAUGGUCGCAAGACUGAUCCAGCCAUGCCGCGUGCAGGAUGACAGCCCUAUGGGUCGUAAACUGCUUUUGUGCGAGAAAAAACCCCUCUACGUGUAGAGGGCUGAUUGUAUCGUAAGAAUAAGGAUCGGCUAACUCCGUGCCAGCAGCCGCGGUAAUACGGAGGAUCCAAGCGUUAUCCGGAUUCAUUGGGUUUAAAGGGUGCGUAGGCGGAAUGAUAAGUCAGUGGUGAAAUCCUGCAGCUUAACUGCAGAACUGCCAUUGAUACUGUCAAUCUUGAGUACAUUUGAUGUGGGCGGAAUGUGUCAUGUAGCGGUGAAAUGCUUAGAUAUGACACAGAACACCGAUUGCGAAGGCAGCUCACAAAACUGUAACUGACGCUGAGGCACGAAAGCGUGGGUAUCAAACAGGAUUAGAUACCCUGGUAGUCCACGCUGUAAACUAUGAUUACUCGAUGUUUGCGAUACACUGUAAGCGUCUAAGCGAAAGCGAUAAGUAAAUCCACCUGGGGAGUACGCUCGCAAGAGUGAAACUUCAAAGGAAUUGACGGCGNGAGAGNGCGACGGACGACAACAGGGAAGAAGG